UGGGGAAUUUUGGACAAUGGGCGAAAGCCUGAUCCAGCAAUGCCGCGUGUGUGAAGAAGGCCUUCGGGUUGUAAAGCACUUUUGUCCGGAAAGAAAUCCUUGGCUCUAAUACAGUCGGGGGAUGACGGUACCGGAAGAAUAAGCACCGGCUAACUACGUGCCAGCAGCCGCGGUAAUACGUAGGGUGCAAGCGUUAAUCGGAAUUACUGGGCGUAAAGCGUGCGCAGGCGGUUUGCUAAGACCGAUGUGAAAUCCCCGGGCUCAACCUGGGAACUGCAUUGGUGACUGGCAGGCUAGAGUAUGGCAGAGGGGGGUAGAAUCCCACGUGUAGCAGUGAAAUGCGUAGAGAUGUGGAGGAAUACCGAUGGCGAAGGCAGCCCCCUGGGCCAAUACUGACGCUCAUGCACGAAAGCGUGGGGAGCAAACAGGAUUAGAUACCCUGGUAGUCCACGCCCUAAAACGAUGUCAACUAGUUGUUGGGGAUUCAUUUCCUUAGUAACGUAGCUAACGCGUGAAGUUGACCGCCUGGGGAGUACGGUCGCAAGAUUAAAACUCAAAUGAAUUGACGGGGUCAUAGCUGUUUCCU
RNAcentral lists this ribosomal RNA (586 nucleotides) under uncultured bacterium. RNAcentral's name for it is "partial 16S ribosomal RNA". It matches the Rfam family "Bacterial small subunit ribosomal RNA", at positions 355 to 1375 of the family's 1533-position model. The record is from RNAcentral.